This 468-nucleotide ribosomal RNA is filed under the name uncultured bacterium. RNAcentral describes it as "partial 16S ribosomal RNA". It matches the Rfam family "Bacterial small subunit ribosomal RNA", at positions 28 to 507 of the family's 1533-position model. The record is from RNAcentral.
GACGAACGCUGGCGGCGUGCUUAACACAUGCAAGUCGAACGGAAAGGCCCUGCUUUUGUGGGGUGCUCGAGUGGCGAACGGGUGAGUAACACGUGAGUAACCUGCCCUUGACUUUGGGAUAACUUCAGGAAACUGGGGCUAAUACCGGAUAGGAGCUCCUGCUGCAUGGUGGGGGUUGGAAAGUUUCGGCGGUUGGGGAUGGACUCGCGGCUUAUCAGCUUGUUGGUGGGGUAGUGGCUUACCAAGGCUUUGACGGGUAGCCGGCCUGAGAGGGUGACCGGCCACAUGGGGACUGCGGGACGGCCCAGAAGCCUACGGGAGGCAGCAGGGGGGAACAUUGCACAAUGGGCGGAAGCCUGAUGCAGCAACGCCGCGUGCGGGAUGCCGGCUUUCGGGUUGUAAACCGCUUUCGCCUGUGACGAAGCGUGAGUGACGGUAAUGGGUAAAGAAGCACCGGCUAACUACGUG